Molecule: long non-coding RNA, 38787 nt
Filed under: Chlamydomonas reinhardtii
Lineage: Eukaryota; Viridiplantae; Chlorophyta; Chlorophyceae; Chlamydomonadales; Chlamydomonadaceae
Description: long non-coding RNA (CREI_LNC000761)
Source: RNAcentral
UGAGAGCAGCCGCCCCAGCCGCGCCGGCGCCGUCACAGGCGAGGCCGGGGUCGCCCCCCGCCUGGCCUGGGCCUAGGCGCUGGGGGCCUCCAGGUGGGGGCGCUUAGGCCUCCUUGGAGGCCUGGCUGGCCACGCGCAUGGCGCGCUUCUUGGCCAGCGACUCCGAGCUGUGAGAUGGGGUGGGAGCAGGUUCAAGGUGGGGGAUAUGGGGAUGAGUAAGAAAAGUCGAGCCGAUGGGUGCACACAGUAGCACCAGCAUGCAUGCAAUCCAAUGGGCGUGGUGGUGCGCCUGGUUUACGCGCGAAGUCGCUACAAACAGCGGACCUCCCAGCACCCGCAAUGGCUGCGACGGUACUGCCACUUCCGCCCUCGUGUCCUCACCGGCGCUCGCGCUGCUCCUUGAGGCGCUGCAUGAGCAGCUUGUGGUACUCGGCCGCGUCGGUCUUGUUCUUCUCCUGCUGGCGCUUCUUCAGGCUCUUGCGGGCGCGCUUGCGCUGCAGGGCGGCGGGGGUCACCAGCCUGCGGUGGCAUCGCGCGAGCGAGGAAGCAGCCAGGCGGCGUCAAGAAUGGAAGGAGCCAGUGUGUCGUCGCCAAAUCUGUGCCAUGAGCCCGUGCAACACCCGCCCUGACGCGCCCUGCUGCUGUGUCUGUAAGAGCCGCCCGCCCGCACCCGAACCCCACGGCGCCGCAAGCCACCCACCGCUGGAUCUUGGGGCACUUGCGGUGCUUCUUGCCGUUCUUGUCGGUCCGCUCGCGCGAGUAGAUGGUGACGUACCUGGAAGCGAGGGGCAGGGAGGAAGGGGGGUGGGGCAGAGACAUGGGGUCAAUUAAUGCAGCCUCAAGACGAAGAAACGUUGAACUUUCUGUCGCUGUCUCCCGCAUCCUUGCUGCGCCUUCGGCAGCAGUUGUAAGCCACCGCUGCUCAUAUGCCCUGUCAUCUGUCUGCACAUUUGCCAGCCCGCCUGGGGCUCUGUGGUCAAGCUGCUUGCAGGAUGCACCGCCAGGGCUGCAUGGCUGCGCCGCCGAGUUGCACGUGUACAACGCCAGCUCGGUGCCACGGCCAGAACGCCAACCCCAUGGUGCUCGCCGCUACUAAUGGCACUGCCCGGUGUCGCUGCUUUGUGGCAGCUGCACACCGCGGCGGCGGUUGCAUACCACAUGACCAUGCUAACCGCCAGCUGCGCGCCCGCGGACACCAGGCUGCAGCUCCGGCUGAGGGCAGCUCCACAGGUCCGAGCUGCCCCUGGUGCUGCUGGCCCGCCGCUGCAGCUGCCAGCUCCAGCUGCCAGCUCCGGCUGUCGCUCCAGAACCAGGGCUCCGCCGGCGCUUGGCGCAUGUUGAUCCAGCCGAUCGUCUGAGCACUUUGUACUACAUCUCACCCGAUCUGCCAUUGGACAGGGAUUCCUAGCCGCCGCCAGUGCCCGGGACCCCUCCCUGCCCACCCAGUUCCCGCUUCCCCGCACCACUCGCCCCUCCCUUUGCCUCCCAAAUCCACUUCCUCGCCCUCCCAGCCGCCACCCGCCACUCGCAAGCAACCCCUAGUUCCCGCCCCCCAAAAUGCAUAUAAUACCCAGGCACUCACUUGCGCACGUCGUCCACCUUGCCCAGGUUGAACAUCUUGCGGAUCUUGCUCGCGCGCUUGGGGCCGCGGAUGCGGGGCUUCUCCUCGUCAGUCAGGCCGGGCAGCUCCUGCUCGCCCUUCUUGACAAUGACCAGGUUCAGCACGGCCAGGUCGGGCGACACGAUGCAGCCGCGAACCGACUUCCGGCGGCGCUCGCCUGGAGCCAUCAAUCAGAUGUGCACAGGCAAGGCGGAGCCAGGGAAGGCCGAGAGGGAGCGCCAGAGCACGCGCGCCAGAGCAGAGAGCAGCAGCACGCCACGCCACGAGCAGCAGCAGAGCAGCAGUCGGCGGCAGGCACGGCGAUUGCAGGGCAACGGGACGAGAGGGAUAGGGAAACGGGCAUGUCAGUACCGGGCCCGUACUUGGUUGCAGACAGAACACAAACGCAUCUAACAGCUGCCCCCCCCCCCCCCUGCCCUUGCUGGCAGGCUGGUCCGGCUGUCGUGGCUGCCACUGCUGUACACCUAGCCUAGUACACCAGCGGCGCCGACUGGGCCCGCUGCAACGUGCUUGCUGCAGGCUGCAUGUUGCUGUGCCCUUCCCGGUUCUUGCUAGGCGAAGGAGCGGCAUCCAACCAGCCAACAUCGCCAGCAGCACCGCGAAGCCUGAGCGUGCCCGCAUGCGUCCUCUGCCCAUCCCCCUGCGCCUGCCCGGCCGCGACUGGCUGGGUCGCUGGCUGCGCCGAGCAGGUCCUGUCCCCAAGCAGGUCGCAUUGAAGACGCAGGCACAGGCUGGCAUGUGGUUAGAGCUGUGGGGGCUGCCAGAGCUGCCGGGGCUGCUGCAAUUUCUGCUGCGGUGGGGAGCGCCGCAUGCUCUGACGCCGGCGCAGCCGCGGUCCCCGUCCUGCAGCCCCGCCGCCUGCUGUGUUUGUUGCUUCCUCCCCUUCGAAUCACCAGCUGCAGCCACUCCACCACGCCCUGACCAGCCCCAGCAGCAUCACAGCUCCUCGUUCAGACUGUGCGCUGUGGCUUUUGCCCCACGCCGCCAGCCAGCACCAGGGCAGCACUGCGCGGCCCCCGCAGGGCGAGCCCGCACACGCCGGCAGUAGGGACCCGCCGGCGUCGCCCGGGUCGGCCCAGUUCCUCCAGCGACGUGUCCGGUGUAGUAUUUGCGAAUCAUUAUGCCAAGGUCACCCAGCCAGCACGCUCGCCUGCGGCUCCGGUCCGCCGAUGCUGCUGCGCCCUCCCGCCGCUCGCGCCGAAAAGAUGGUUUCCAGCUUGCUGCCGCUGAUAAAAUGCUGAUGUUACAGAAUUCGCCUGUAACUAUGGUCCAUUAUCCACGCUGCAAAGGCGCCAUAGCGCCACCGUCACCCGCAGCCGACCGACCAAAAACUGCCGGCUUGCCUGCGCCCCCACGCCAUUUUUUGCUAGUAACUCACCCUUCCGGCGGCCGUAGCCGCGGAAGCCCUGGUCGCCGGGGGUCAUCAGCAGACGCACGCGGGCAUUGGUCAGGACACCCUGCUUCAUGGCGAAGCCCUGCUUGUCCUGGCCACCAGCGAUCUUCAGAACGUAGCCCUGUCAGCGGAACGGCGGAAGCAGCCCAGCAGUAAGUGGCCGCUCCAGUGAGGUGCGGGCGGCCGGCGGCCGCCCAGCCCCGCGAACACAGACAAUUUUUGGCACCAGCUGUUCCGCAGCAAACGCACCUUGAACUCCUCGCCCAGGACCUCGCCAUCGACCUCAGCGGCCACACGGCGGUCGUAGAAGGCACGCAGCUUGGCCUCAUCGUCCACCUCCAGCUUCUUUUGGCAGCCGGUUGCCGGGUAGGCAAUGUUGAGCUUCAUUUUUGUUGAAGCUGCUCACCUGCAGCGGCGCAAGAACGCUGUCACUCAGCAAGUCGCCGGGAAAUGCGCUGCGGUCGGCCAGCCGCGUCGACCAAAAGCCAGCCCCAGCGCUUAUGUCAAAGGCAGAGCCUCCAAAAUCAUGCACAAAUGAUAUUGCGACCUCGCCGCUGCGCCGGUCACCGCUCUCGGCGGCGCUCUCUUCCCGCGCUGAGUGCAAACCCGCCCUUGCUAUUGUUUGCUCUAGGAACUAACCUGGAUGGCGCGCAGAAAGAGAGAGCCAUAAGCGCGGCACACCGGGUUGUCCCCCGCCGAGCGAGCGCCCCCCAUGCAAUUGCCCAUGCCGGUUCUUCGCGAGCCCCAGCAGAGCGCUUAUAUGUGAUGCUGCGCUUGAUUGCGUGUGCAGAGAUCAGCUCAGUAUUAAUAGUGCCUGACCGGUUAAUGCCCAAAACGACAUGUCCAGCAUUCCAACCAGACUGUCGCUCGCUUUUGUCCCCAGCCAUAUGGCCUCUUGCAGAAACUCUACUGUCGGCAUCUGGCGGUUACUCGGAAAGUGUCAAUGCGAUGUGGUUGGGACAGAGCGCCCUCUCCACCUGUAUCCGAGGAGGAUACGCCACAGGGUAGCUAGUUCAUCCUGUACCGUGGGGACACACUGACACGGCGCCUGCAGCUAGAAUUGCGCGCGCUGGCAUGCUACCGUACAUCAGUCGCGAGCAAGGGCUGCUUGUGUCGUACUCCACGCUGGCGGUAGGAGGCGGCAGGAGCCGGGUGCUCGGGCUCUGUGCUCAGUGAGUGUAGGUGACCUUGCUGUUCUGUGCUUAGCCUGACAGCUUAACCACCCUGGGAUAGUCCUUGCGCUACGCCGUUCUCAAGUUCAUAAGUGUAUGUGGGGUCAGGCAGGCCGUGUGGCUCGCCGGCUGCCGACACGUGCGCUUCGCACGCCGCCACCUAGCCUGUGCAAGGCUCCUGCGAGAGUCUGAUGUGCCCGAUGCAGGUGCCGCCUGCCCCACGCUUGAUGGCGGGCGGGGCCGUCGAUCAGCUGGCAGCAGUCGUCGUACACACAUGGCGCAUUAGGGCCUGGGCAUUGCAGCACCAGGGACUGCGGGUUGGGGGCACUGCUGGUGGCGAGGGGGCCAUAAGGAGAUUGGGGGUUCAAGGGGUUAGAUGGCGUAUCAGCAGGGCCAGGGGGUUUCUCUGCUGAGUUCCGUGGGCUGAGGGCUGGGGUUGGUGGUAGGGAUCGGCCGUACGGACGACACACUGCCGCCCGUUGUGUGCUGCCGGUGCGCGCGGCCAUGGGGCCGCUACCUUGCACAGCGCUCCCGGUGUUUGUCAAUACCAUGUAUGCGCCGGACUUAACUUUGUAGGGAGCGGACGCGCAUAUGGCUGUAGUUGCACCUGGUGAGCAGAGUUGGAUUCGGGGCACCAAGGCGCACGGACACGCCCUCAUUUGUGUGUGCUUGCCACUGGGGCGUUCACUGGCUGGUUGCAGUGCGGGGGGCCGCCCAUCCUGCUCACUGCCUACACGGUGAAGGCGGGGACCGUGCUACAAAUGGCUCCACAGUUAGCCGCCCUGAAGGCUAAGCAUUUGCAGUAUGUGUGCGAUGCGGGUGUGUCGGGGGUGGGGGCUGCCCUGGCGGCGGGGGCCUUCGUGUGCACCUUGGCCCGCUUGUGGUCGCUGAAAUGGGAGAAUCAUCAUAAGGAAGCACUGUGGCGUGUGGCCGCCAACGCUUGCUGGGCGUUUCCACGGCAUGCUAGCGAGCGGGCGCGAGGCGUUGCUGUUGACCCGUGUUGGGCGUGUGGGGUUGACAUGCAGGAUGGGGACCGGCGUCACUGGUUUUGGGACUGCACUGUGGCGCUGUCCCUGCGGGAAAACAUGGGAAUGGCUAUGGGUUUCGUGCCAGAGGAUGCUCUAAGUGCCUUCUCUCGUGAGGAGUUGUGGUUGGUGCGCCCGCCUGAUGGGCUUGCGCCACCUGUGUGGGAUGUGGUGUGUCUCGCUGCUAUGUCUGCCCUGGACUUUGGUCGGCAGCGUAUGGUUAUGGCCGGGCUGGCGGCGCGAGCGAAGCUGCCGUCGGCCCGGGUGCUGAGCAUUGGACUUGCCGUCGUAGCUGACUUCUGGGGUCGGCUCCAGACGUUUGUGACUUUGGGUAUCAGGCCAAAGGGUUGGGACGCUGUGCCGUUUGCGCAUCCCUUCAUAUCUCGGGCUGUUGGUGACGGCAUGGUUUUGCGCUUGCCGUAUGACGCUGAUUCCCCGCCUCCCUCGCCGUGAGAGGUUGUGCGUGGUUGGUGGCUUUGUGUGUGGGCAGGAUUCACGCGUGGGCGACUGUUCUAGUACCUGGACGCUUGCGCCCUGGUUAGUGCGUGCGCUGUGCGUGUGUCCUGCGGCCUAGACGUUUCCCGGCACUUCUGUGCCUAGGCUUGUGACGUUGAGGCACAGCGGUGGGGCUCUGGCGGGUUGAGGCUUGGCUAGGACUCACUGUGCGCGGAGUCACACGGACUUUGCCCGCGGGAGGGUUUGCAGCAAAGUCGGGGUUGGUGGAGUCAUGUUGGGCCCUGAUAGCAUGUGAUGGCUCGGCGUCUUCGGGUGCUGGGACUGUCCCCUCUGUAACAUCCGCAUUCUUACUGCCACGUGUGGGUGGGGGCGAGGUAUUGUACGUCUUAGUUGGGUCUUACAUAAACAGUGGUUGACAGCUGGGAACAGCUGAGAGCCGCGCGCGCUGGGUUCACCGCGAGGCGGUGUAUGCUGCUGUUGGACCUGCCGGAGCUUCGAGCCUUGAGUAGUUCAUUGGCACCGUUGGCCGGCAACAGCCACACCUCCUCACACACUCGCCUCUGUACGUCGCCCGCCCACAUAAACAAGCAUCACGCCAACCGAAAGUAAGGAUGCUCAUCAACACCCAAAGAGCGGCUUGAUAGCCAUAAACCAAACGAAAGCACGUGCACUGCGCUACGCCCAUAAGCGGACCAUGUGAGUCGCAUGUGCCAUGUGCCAUGGUGCCACCGGGACUCCUUACACAAACCCUUCAAACUUCUGGAAAGCCAGGGCCGCCAGGCAGCCCAGCAGCAGGCCUGCAUGGGCGGCAAGGCCAGCGGCGCUGCCGCCAUCGCUCUUGACACCCGCACCCGGGGCCAGGGUGGGGAUGGGCGCGGCGCCGGGCAGCGGCGCGCUGGUGCUGACGCCUACGGUGGACAAAACCUUGGUGGUCUGGGCUUGGACCUGAAGCACGCUGGUGGAGAAGGUGUUGAAGGCCUGCUUCUGGUCCGUGGAGAGCGUGAGCACGGCGGCCAGGGGCGAGGUGGUGUCGGCGAUCAUGCGGCGGCCGGAGGCGGAGGAGGAGCUGCUGCCGCCGCCCAGCACCUGCACCGGCACCUCGGCCAUGGCAUACAUGGCGAUGAGGGCGUCGGAGAUGAGGUCGGGGAUGGUGAAGCGGUCGUCCAAGCCCACUGCGUGAGGUGGGUGGGGAGAGGAAUGGGUGGAUUGGGCAAGGAGUUGUGCUAGGGUUACGGAAGGUAGAGUGUCCCCCAGUUGCAACGUCGCAAACCACGCGCACUAUAGUAUAGCUAACCGAAGCCAAAAAAGCAAGCGAACUCACUCAGCGUGAGCAGGCCGUAGCCAACAACGCCCGGCACGUAGGCUAGACCGUAGUCCAGGUCUGCCUCGUUGUCCUUUAGGAACUGCACCACGUCCGACACCACCUGCUUUGUCAGGUAGUCGGGGCCGAUGUCGGAGGUGUUGAAGCCAAAGUUCUUCUGCAGUGCCUGGCUCAGGAUGAUGCCACUGCGGGGCGGAGGUGGGAUGGCGGAGGCGUGGGAUGCAUUGGGGACGGUUUGGACAUAGUUAGUAGGAAUGGCGGGGAUGGAGACGGACAUGUAAGGGAGGUGUAGUCCACGUGUGGGUGGGGGCGAGGUAUUGUACCCCUAAGUUGGGUCUUACAUAAACAGUGGUUGACAGUUGGGAACAGCUGAGAGCCGCGCGCGCUGGGUUCACCGCGAGGCGGUGUAUGCUGCUGUUGGACCUGCCGGAGCUUCGAGCCUUGAGUAGUUCAUUGGCACCGUUGGCCGGCAACAGCCACACCUCCUCACACACUCGCCUCUGUACGUCGCCCGCCCACAUAAACAAGCAUCACGCCAACCGAAAGUAAGGAUGCUGAUCAUGCUUCCUUACUUUUGCUGUCUAGCACAUGAUGCAGUGCGUGGAGGGGCGAGACGUGCCUCGCCCAUUCACACAGGCCCACGCGGUGUACCUGCUGGUAUCCGGACCGCACCGCUCACCCGCGCUGGUUGUGAAUGGCAACGAACCCCGCCCAACCCGUCAUGCACGCACAUGUGCCGUGCAUCUCCACCUCGCCUCACCUGUUGGUAACCAGGAAGCGCUUCACCACAGGCAGCGCCAGGUCUUUCAGAGCCGCCAGGGCCAGGUCCAUGUCCUUGGUGGCGAUGUCCGCCACCUUGGUGUUGCACAGAGCCAGGCGCAUCACCACGCCCACGGUCUUGUCGUAGGCGCCCACCCACCAGUCCACCACAGCCGGGAUCUGCAAGUGAAACGUGCGUGAAGACAACAACAGCACCGUGGACUGGUGAGGUACACCCCCUUCCUCACACGCCCCGCGAUUUGCUCUCGAGCCUCUUAAGUCGGUUCUCCUGCAUGUUACCCAACGUUAAACAGUUCCCCAACAAGUCGCACAAAGCACGGAACUUUGUUGUUUCACGCACGCUCCCGGCAACCCCGCCCAGGCUCCCCCUCUCACUCACCGUCUGGAACAUGUUGCCGAUGUACGGUAGUGUUGCCAGGCUCGACAGGAAGGUGGAGUCGGUGGCGAGCUUGCUGGUGAGGAACGUGUCGGCGCCGUCCUUGGAGGCGGCGCAGGCGUUGGCGGCGUCGGGCACGGUGGAGGGGGUCUGGGUGGUGGGCGUGACAACGUCCUUCAGGCUGGGGGCGGCCAGCGCCACCUGGUAGUCCGGGUAGCGCUCCAGCACCUGGAUCAUGCCCUUGAUGGCGGGCUUGAGCUGGGCCAGGCUGCGCGGCGGUGAGGAGAUGCAUGACGGUGGCAUGAUGGUUAUUGUGGUGGUUGUGGUGGUUGUGGAGGACAGGAGGAGAAGAGAGGGAGGGGGGAGGGAAGAGUGCUGGAGGGUCAGGUCCCAAUUCAUUGCACACAAGGCGCACGGCGCACGCCGCAUAGUGCCCCGUAUUCCAUCACCCCAGCCUCAAUCACAGCCCUCUCUCCAACACCCAACUGACUCACUUGGCCUGCAUCUUCUGGAACAUGUCCUUCUCGCCGGCCGUCAUGGUCAGCAUGGCCUUUUCGAAUUCAUCCGAGCCGGGGUUGGCGUUGGCGUCCAGCGCCGUCUUUGUCAUGGUGGCCAGCACAUCCACAACGGCGCCCCACAGUCACACGACUGUCCACGGACACUGUAGGCGUGUCGCGUGCGGCGGGGAUCCCGUUGUUGGCAGGGGUACUUUAUGGGCAGGAAGCGUAUGUGGACAGGUGGUGUGCGUGCUAUAAGCUGGCACGCAUGGCACCCUUGCGGGCCCGUGUGUGUAACCCGUGCCGCCCCGCUCACCACAACUCCUCCCGCGCCGCGCCCCCCCUACUACUGCUGUGCCGUACUCCAGUCGUCCGCCAGCUUGCCCCCGCCCCCCCGCCCCAGACUCACGCAGCUCUGCGCCCAGGCCGACCAGCACGCCCACAAUGCCAAAUGGGUUGUUGGCGACGUAGCCCAGCACGCUGCCGUAGUCGUAGUCGGCACCCACCGCACCGCCCGCCAGGUCGGCCGCCUCCACCAGCAGCGACAGCGUGUCCUCAUCCGUGCUGCUGGUGAAGGCCUGGAUGAAAUUGGUUGCGAGCUGGACGUUGUCGCGAGUGAGGUAGGCAUUCACGUUCUUGGUGGCGAAUCCAAGGUCGUUGUUGAUUAGGUCGAAGAGCACGGAGCCGGGGGUGGUGUCCAGCGCGCUCUGGGCCACGGGCACGAGCAGGCGCCUGAGGACGGAGAUGGCGCGGUCCGCAGUCUGAGGGCAGGGGAGGGCGCGAGGGUGCAUGGUCGGUACCGGCAGGGCAGGUAGGGAACAGCGGGCGGGCGAGUGAACAGCGAUGCGAGAGCGGAGGCUGAAGGGGGCUAACGGAUUGUUGCGCGCCGGACUUGCACGGGCUGACGACCGGACAAGAAGUUGCAAGAGGGACAUGCCGCCCUGUACGCACCGAUCGAGUUGGCGGCGCCGUUCUUGCCGCACAGCAUGGCGCUGACGACCGGGCGGAUGCCGGCGUCCCAGCGCGCCGCGUACCAGGUGAAGACCGAGGGCAUGGUGGUCAUCACGGCGCCUAGAGGCGGGAACAUGUUCACUGCACCCUGCGUGGACGGGUGCGUGGAGGCACUAGGGUGACGCAGAACACAAUCAACAGGAGGAUUCGUGCCGUGCGUGCCGAAACCCAAUCCCCCAAUCCGCAGAAAAACCCUGCACCUGCCGCGCGCACCGGCCGUAUAAUUCUCCCCUGCCUACUGCGAGGUGCUAUACCAGCGGAGCAUGUGCACAGCAGGGGAUGGGGGUGGUUUCCUCAUGGGAAACCGGAGGCAAGUCACAGGCAGGCGUGUUUAGGCCACGUUCCCAGACCGCUUCGCUUGAACUCCGAACUUACUCGGAACACGGGGUCGGCCGACAUGUUCGACGCUAGCAAGUCCCCAAGGAACGAGUCUGGCGUUGCGCAAGCUGCGGCUGAACGACGUCGCUGAGCGGCCCCGCCGAUGUCCACAUGAGCGACGAGAGACUCAGCGGUCGGCUCAAAGACACACGGAAGCAUCUCAGCGCAAUUCACGCGCAAGCGCUUUGGGCAGCAUUUCACGUAAGCGCGGCCGACGACGGACAUGCCAAUCUGCUGCUGCUGUAGUGAGCCCGCCGCCGUCUCCACGCAGCCCCAGCAAUCACCACAACUCGCCGAGACAUAAACGUUGUCUUCGGGACAGGAGCGCGACCAGCUGCAGCUGCUGGAGAGCUCACACGCUGAGUCAUCCGUGACAUUUGCCUUUCCCAGCAUCUGCCAGCCGGCGCUGGGGCAGCUGUCCCACAUCCACUUGGCUGCUGACGCGGAGAAACACAUGCCGCUGGCAUCGCAGGUAUUGCCGGCGCACAAGAUGUGCGGCUUCCACACGGAGGAGGCUUGAACGGGCACGCUCACAACUGCCAGCAGGGCCACCAAGAGGAGCCCCCAAAGGACCGUCAUUUUAUGCAAUCGUCUUCAAGUCAAGUUGCUUACAGGCUCUGUACAGGAGCGCGCGGGUUUUGUGUAUGUACCGGGGUGCCUGCUGUCGGGGAUUGGAGUGGUACGGAAUUCAUUCGGGUCCAGCCUUGCUCCACCCUCAAGGCCCGUGGGAAAUGCGUAUGAAUGCUGGCACACACGUUUUAGUGCAUCCAUGUGAGCAAGGUGGGCCAGUGCGCGCGCGCUGAUACAUACAUACGCUCUUCCUUGGCAAUGGCUUAAUGCCAGGGCAGAUAUACUGUAUCUGUGCAACUGAGAUAGUAACGCACCAAAACAUUCAAAUAACUUGUGUGCAGCGAGAUCAUCACGAGCACCAGCGAGCACUACUCACGCAGGGCGCGAUGGCAGUUUGCGCUUGAGUCGAGCGCCACUAGACUGGCGGGCCCCCCUAAAUGUGCAUACGUUGAUGUGGAGUGGCUUGAGAUGACUGCGUGAUGCCAGCACUCUCGCUCGCUCGAGAAGGUCGGCCCAACAGGAACGGCCGUUUUGGGAUGUUCCUCAACAGGCGGAGGGGAGGAAGAGAGGGGAUGUAACUUUAGCACUCAUGGCCAGCCGCGCCACACAGCCUGCAUCACUUCCUGCUCUCCAUGACUUCUGGAGCCAUCAUACAAUCCAGUCGGAGCGGUGAAGAUGCCGCUUGAGCGUGCGAGAACAUGCCAUCGCCAACAUCGUUUCCAGUCCUCGUGACUCUGAUAAGCGAUCUCUUGAAUGCAUUGCAAGCAGCAGCUGGUCCAGGCCAAGCGACCUGCAUCGCCGCAAGGCUCGCAGAGGGCCCCAGCCACGGUUGUGUGAGGGUUGUGCCAGGGGAGAGCGGGGACGGGUGGCACGCACCUGACGUGGAGAGUGCCAGACAUGGUCCGCAGUAGAAUUGACACUAUGCGACUCCUAUACUAUUUCCGCUUUGAAAGCCUAUCGCAUGCAAGCCUGCUGAGCUUGGGUCUGCUGGUCGCCAGCCAACAGAAUGCCAGCUUGAAGCCUAUUCUGUAUUCACAUUACUGGAUGCAUAAGUAUGUAUUUUGCAAUCCCUGAAUUAUCUGGAGCUGCUCAAAUUAUGGAGUGCAGAGGGUGAGAGGAACGAAAGGUUGUGGCGCCGCCGCAGGAACUAAGCCGUCUGCAUUUCUGUGACAAAUGUUACUGUAUCGAUAUAAGCAGUUCAUGGCUGGAGCAUUCUGGGUCGGCCUAGCGACUUUGUGGCAGAACCGAUUAUAGGUCUCGGUGCGCCGUAACCUUGCCCAAGACGUUAUCAGAGCCAACGAGCAUUCACUGCACGCAGGCCGCUCGCCCGCAGCGUCUCUCGUAGCCGGGUGGUAAAAUGUGCUGGCGCCGCACGCCAGUCGGGAGGGCGCCGUGGCACUGCUUCUGACGGAGCCGGGGCCCGGCGCGGCCGGCCCGACGCGCCCUUUCCUGGCUCCACACCCUCCUCUUCCCCCUCCUCGUCCUCGCCGUCAUGGCCGGAGCAGCAGCAGCGCCAGCUCAGCCGCGGCGGGCCGGGGGCUGGGCCUGCGGGGCCACGCCGUGCCGACGGCGCCGGCGCGCCCAACCCCGGUGCUGGCCGCCCGUCCUACUACGGCGGUGGCGGAGGCCCCGGCGGUGCCGGCCCCGGCACCCCCGCCCCCAAGCCCAAGUCUGACAAGGAGCGGGAGGCCCGCCGGGCCGCCAGGGCUGCGGACAAGGCGGCUGAGGUGGCGCGGGCAGCGAACGGCAGCUGCUACGGCUGCGGUGCACCGUUGCAGACGGAGGUGCCGCUGGGGGCGGGGUACGUGGCGCCAGACAAGUACGAGGCAAAGAGGCAGCGGAGGCAACUGGACAAGGUGCGGCAUCGGGGAAGUGUUGGUAGUGGAGGCGGCGUGGAGGGUGGGGGUUUGGGGCAUUUGGGGCACCUUCGGCUCAUGACUCCGCCAUUCAUUGCUCGCCCUCCCGCCAUUACCCGGGCCACCUCCCCCCACCUUCUAACUACUCAUACCGCAACUUCCUCUCUACCCACCUCGAUCAGGUCCUGUGCCAGCGCUGCGGCGAGCUAUGCAACGGCGCCAUGAUCCCCGGCGUGCAGGACUUCACCCAGAAGCUGCAGCUACGAGCGGCGGGGCUGGAGGCAGCUGCAGCCGCCGCCGAGGGCGCAGCAGCCAGCGCAGGUGCAGGAGGGGCAGCAGGAGGGGCAGCGCGGGCGGGCGGGGCUGCGGCGACCGCUGCCGCGGCUGCCACCGCGGCGGCGGCGCUGGCGGCCGCUGGCGGCGCGGCUGCGGCGGCUGUGAAGGCGGCGCCUGUGGUGGCUGCGUCGGGUGGGGCGGCGCCGGCGGAGGCUCUGAGCCUGUUGGGAAAGGUGGGCGGGGGGCCGCUGAGCGGCAGUGGGGGCUGGUGGUGGCAGCAGCGAGGAUGCGGACCAACAGACGGGGGGGGUUCAGCGGCGGCUGUUUGCUGGUGGGGGUUGCCGGCGGCGGUUUCAUGUUCCGUAGUGCGGUAGAGUGUGGGCUGUGUCGUGCUGUCGUGCAGGAGAUCGCAUGCAAGUAGUGGUUUGGGUGCGGACCAGCCAACAGGGCUGGGUGUUCUUCGGGCCAUCGAGGCCCUCGCCGGCCCCCACUUAGUUCCCCCGCUGACUUCGCCCCCAUCACCGCCGCCACCACAUGCCUUGUUGCGCCCGGUACAGGUUCUGGUGACUCCGGAGCAGCUGCGCAACCAGUUGACACCGGUACGUGCAGGCCCUCCUGGGCCUUCCAUGCCGCCUCCAUGCCACUGCCCUCGCGCGCUAUCUCCCUCACCCUCCAUCGCCCCUUUCCUUCUCCUCCAACCUAAAAGCUCCCUCGGUAACCUCGGUCCCUCCGUUUACCCUGCCCUGCCCUGCCCUGAUGACUGAUCUGUCCUGCCUCGUUGAUUCCCCUCCGCAGCUGGCUCUUCGCGCCGCGGUGGUGGUUCUGCUUGUGGACCUGACGGACGCGGGCGGCACCCUCAUGGGGCGGGUGCGCGACAUGGUGGGGCGCAACCCCAUUGUCAUGGUGGGGACCAAGAUGGACCUGCUGCCGGAGGUGAGGAGGGCGGGGGAGGGGAGGAGGGCGGGGGCGGGGAGGGGGCGGGUUAUGGUCACGAUUGCCAGUACGGGACCAGAGAUACGAAGACGAGAGGGAAGGCAGGGGAGGGGAGGGGAAGAGAGGAUGGGGAGUGACACCGACGUGGCGGCUGACUCAAUGCAUCCUCCUCCAUCCAUCCUAUACAACCCACCCACCCAACAACCCAAUCGUGCCCCUAAUUAGAGCUUCCCCCAAAACCCAAACGUCCUCAACAGGGCGUGAAGGCUCGUGAGGUGGCGGACUGGCUGGCCGGCGCCGCCGCCUCCAAGCGCCUCAAUGUCGUGUCCACACACCUCGUGUCUAGCCACACCGGAGAGGGUGAGGCAGCGGGGCAGAUGGAGGUGGGGGAGGCCGGGUGUGGCCGGGGGCACGCAAGGCUAUAGGGGCCUGGGAGGGGAGGCGGCGCCAGCUGACGCUCGGGCGCUACGGAUGUACUGGUAGUCUGGUGGUACGGAGCUGACACGACACGCCCAGCUGUCUUGCUUGUGCCCACGCAUCAGUUGCACACGUGGGGUGGGGACCCAACACCCAAAUACCGUACACACGUUGCAUGCGCUCUCCUGUCCUGCUAUCCAGGCAUGUCGGCGGCUGUGUCGCGCAUUUGCCGCGAGCGGCGUAGCCGAGACGUGUACGUGGUGGGGGCGGCCAAUGUGGGCAAGAGCGCAUUCGUGCGGGCCAUGCUAAAAGAGAUGGCGCGCAGCGGAGAGCCCGUGGCCAUCGGCGCCGGCAAGUGAGUGGUUGCUGACAACGGCCGUGGGCGGGGGCUGGGUGGGUGGGGGCGGGGGGACCAGGUGGUCUGGUUCGUUGCGUCUCAUUUGUCCUGCUGGCACCCGGCAAUGGUUGUGGUAGUAGUGGUAAUGGUCAGCACAAAACCAUUGGUGCACCGCCCGCUGGUGCACCGCCCGCUGGUGCAACGUCCGCUGGUGCACUGUUGUGGCGUGACAACGCCACCGUCCUUCGGACUACGGCAGUCGUGCCUGGAACCCCCAGGAAUCACUGAAAUCAAAACAAAGCAACUCCCCCUCGCCUCGACUAUACCUUUUCUUAAUUACUCCUGAAUGUAACCCCACGAUUUUACCCCCCUCGCCUCGCCAGGUACCUCCCCGUGGAAAGCGCCAUGCCCGGCACCACGCUGGGGCUCAUCCCGCUGCAGGCCUUCAGCAGCGGAGGGAUCCUGUUCGGUGAGAGCGUGUGCGUUUGUCCUAGGGGAGGGGGGGGGGCAGCCGUUCAUGGAGGGGGGGUGCGUUUGUGGGUUGGCGUGUGUGGAUGGGCUGGUAUGAACCCGUAGUGGCGCUGAAAGGGUGCUUGGUGGUGCUCGGUGAUGAUGCUCUGAGGUGAUUGGUGAUGCGGGCCUAAACCCAAUCGGGCCGGCCUCUGGCCUGACUCUCUGCUCCUCCUCCCCCUCUCCAUGCAACCCACAUGCACACGCAGACACGCCCGGCGUGCAUUUGCACCACCGCAUCCCGCACAUGCUCUCCCCCGCCGAGCUCAAGCUGCUGCACCCGCGACGCCGCCUGGCGCUCACGCUGCCGCCGCUGCCCGUCGAGCUGGCAGAAGAGGAAGCCCUGCAAGCCGCAGGCCUACGCGGCGGCGGCGCCGCCGCUCACGGGGAAGACGGCCAGGAGGAUGGGGCUGGGGGCAAGGCGGCAGGCGCGGGCGCGGCGUGGGGCGCGGCGGGCCUGGCCGGGGAGGAGGGAGAUGAGGGCGUGCGCAAGGGACGCGGCGGGCUGAAGAUCGUGGAUUAUAACCCAACCGACGAGUACGGCAUGCCCAUCACGGGGCUGGACGCGGGCGUACGGCAGAAACGUGGCGGCGGCGGCAGCGCCAAGGGCGUGGCGGCUGCGGGGGCAUCAGGCGGCCGGUCGGGCGCUGCUGCGGGCCAGGGCCAGGGCCAGACGUUGCAGGUGCUGGACCGCGGCCAGGUGAGGUGCCGGGGCGGAAGGGGGCUGAGGGGAUGAGGGGGCGGAAGGGGGGGCUGAGGGGAUGAGGGGGCGGAAGGGGGCUGAGGGGAUGAGGGGGCAUUGGGGCGGAAAGGGCUGUGCGGCGGAAGGGGCUGUGGGUUUGGCUGGGGGAGGGAUGUUGGGGUGUGGGGCUGAAGGGGCUGUGGGUUUGGCAGGGGGAGGUGAGCAGCCGGUAGACGCAGCGCGAUACGUGCCUGACGGCAGGUAUGGUAGUUGAGGGUGUGGGUCUGAGCCUCUGAGGAGUCCCUGCCGUACACUGAACUGCCGUACACUCACUGCCUUGCCGUACAGACCCGCGGCACGUACGUCUGGAGCGACCUGGUGCGGGUGGACGUGCUGGGCGGGCCGCCCAGUACGGCACUGGUGUUCUACGGCCCGCCCGCCAUGCGGGUGGUGGGGCUGCCGUACGUGCGGGUGAGUGAGGGGGCGAGGGGCGGAGGGGCUGAGCAGGCGGGGCGGCUGCGGGAGCGGCACGGUCGAGGCGGCGCAGUAGGCACCUUGGUUCUAUGUGAGGAUAGCCGCGUGGCCGGCAGUCGCGCUGGCAACCAAUCCCCACCUUGGGCACCUUGUGCACAUUUGCGCCCCGCAGCCGGACCAGAAGAUCGAGGUCGACUACGGCACCGGAGAGGCUGUAGCCCGCGACUCCAGCAGUAGCAGCAGUAGCAGUAGCAGUAGCAACAGCAAGGUGCUGGUGUGCACGGACUCGGUGGCGGCGCGCGGCGGGCUACAGCCGACGGACCUGCUGGUAAAGGCGGCCAGCGCGGCGGCGGGCGGCGGCAGUAGCACGGCCCUGGCGGACAUUGCCGUGUCGGGCCUGCCGGGCUGGGUGGCGGUGUGGGCUCCCAAGGCCAACCGGGACGUCAGGUGCGGUGCGCGAGAGGAGAGAGGCGGCGGGGGCGGGGGCGGGGUGGGGUGAUGGGAAGAGGAUUGCUUAAGUUAGGUGAAGUGAUGGGAGAGGGGAGGGCCGCCGGAGCGGGUUGCGGAAGCUCGGAGGGUGCAGCGUGACGCACUUAUCCAAGCCGGACCCGGCACGCUGUGUUUUCAGCCCUCUGCCCCAUGCCCCCCUGUCGUGGCUCGCUCUGCUCCCCUGUGUGCUGUACGGUACGCAGGCUGCGCGUGUGGGCGCCGCGCGGCGUGGAGGUGAUGCUGCGGCCGCCCCUGCCCUGCCCGCUGCCGCCGCCGCUGGUGCGCGCCUGGCGCGGCGAGUCGCGUGACGCGGAGGACGAGGAGGGCGAGGGCGAGGUGGACGAGGAGGCGGCGGCGCUGGGCGAGUGGAGCAAGGCGCUGGUGAAGGGUGAGCUUUGGGUUUGGUGUGCUGGUGUGUGCGCGUGCACGUGUCGCGGUGCGCGCGAGUAAAUAUCUCGCUACCGUGCCAACCGCAUCCCCAUACCUCCGGUGUAUCUGGGAGAUGUAGUCGAUUGCGCAAUAGUUGUUUCUGAGCCCGACUGGUGUCUCCUUCACGUGGCCUCCCCACCACCACCCCGCCACACGUCGCCACGCAGGCGGGCUGAAGGACCCCACCUCGGACCCCGCAUGGUGGGAGGCCAUGGCCGCACUCAAGGUGGGCGGGCGCUUUAUUGCGACUGUGACGAUGGUGAUGGUGGUGACGAUGGCGGAUUGAGGGACUCGCUGGCUGCCUGCCUAGCAUAACUGGCUUCUCGGCGGCCUGGCCGCGCCACUGCUACCUUAUUACGCGCAAAGCUCUCGCUAACAAAGCAGUACCAACAGCUUGCAAGCAUCACCUACGUGGCCUUGUCUGAACCUGGCCUCCACUGGCCGCCUUGCCCCCCGAUCACACACACGCGUGCGCCCUCUACACCAACCAGGACGAGGACCUGCCAGGCUACGCCGCGGCCAACCGCCGCAAGCCCGCCCGAGGCAAGGCCGCGGACAGUGCCGCGGACGUAGAGGCGGGUGCCGUGGACGACGACCAGGAGGGCGAGGGCGAGGAGGAGGAGGAGGAGGAGGGCGGCCUGCCGGACUGGGGCGAUGAGGCGGAGCUGGUGGGCGAGGACGAGGAGGAGGAGGACUGGGCGGCGGGCGGCGGCGAGCGGGUGGUGGUGUCGGCGACGGUGGAGGACAUCCUGAAGCGGCCCAGGUGGGUGGACCGAGGGCAUGUGUGUGUAGGGGGGGGGCAUCCGGGGGAAGCGUCUGGUGGUUGGGGAGGAGAUGGGGAGGGGUUGGGGAGGGGAAGGAGCGGUGGGAGGUUGGCAGGGAUUGAGGGGUGCAGGGGCAGAGGCUUUGGACUGGCUUGCUGGGAGACCAGGGGCGCUGGGAACACGGGGGCGGGGCGAGGGUGCAUUUGCAAAGGCGGUGAUUGCGAGGCUAGUGCGGACGCGUCACAAAGCCAGGGGCAACAGUGGGAUUCAGGGCAGGCCAGGCCAGUGGGCGAUGGCCUAGAAGGGUGGCUUGCAACCAGCAGGCAACCGGCGCCGGCCAUACCCCUUGCGGCCAGCCCCCUGCAACCCGACAACCUCUCUCCCGCCGACACCGCUUUUCCAACCAUCUUUGCAAUCCCCCAAGCACCCCACCGACGCCGACCUCUCGUUCCCGAUCCCCCAGGAUCGACGUGCUGAGUCAGAUGGACCUUGACUACAUCGACGAGGAGGAGGACGAGGAGGAGGGGGACGAGGAGGGCGGCGACGUGGCGAAUGACGUCAGCAGCUUCACACUGCGCAAGCCAGCUGGCGAGCCAGGCCGCGGGGCCAAGGGCGGUGCGGCUGCGGGCCGGGCCGGCAGCCGGGGCCGGGGCGCGGCCCAGUGGCUGGAGCAGGCGGAGGGAGGGGGCGAGGUGGGCCCUGCGGCCGAUGGAGCGUGGGACCCCUUCUCCACGCCGGUUGAGGCCGUGACCUCAGGAACCUCGGCGCCGGCGUCCGCGGCGGCCGCUGUGCGGAGGCGGCGAGGCAGUGCGGUGCCGGCUGUGGUGCCGGCUGCGGUGCCGGCUGCGGUGGAGCAGGAGGAGGAUGACGAGGAGGAGGGGGAGGAGGAGGAGGCGGCGCCGGCACGGGGGCGAGGCGGGCGGGUGGCAGUGAGGCCGUACAGCGCGGCGCGGCGGCGGCUGGGGCGGCGGCGGGAGGUGGUGAAGCAGGUGGUUGAGGAAGGGGACGGGGAGUGAUCUGCUGGCAAGGGCUGAUGGGUGUAUGGAGAUGUGAUCAUUUGAGGCGGGGGGCACCCAAGCCACAAUCUUCAACUGCAGGGAUGGAGCGUGCACCAGUAAACUGCUAACGCAGCUGACUGGUGCUAUCAGUUCCAGGGGUCUGCUGCAUUGGUUAAGCCCCAGGGGCCAAAGGCCACAUGCUGCAACGCCAAAGACAUUGGGGCCGUGGUUAUUGGGCAUUCACACUUACUUGGAAGCUGAUGCCCCUCACAUGUUCCAAUGUUUUCGGCAGCCAAGUCGCGUGCAUGUCGUGCUGCAUGCUGUGGUGUUGUGUUUAAGAUUGUGCCCUCCGUCAAGCUGCGCUGUGCUGCAAGUCUGCUGCCGACCUGCUGCCGAUGAGUCCUUGCGCGCAAUCAAAACGUUUAAAGUGGCUUGCGGCAUUGUUCCGGUCCGCCCAGGAAAUGGUGACAUCCACACAGACGUUGACGUCGGUGCCUGGCGUCAGUUCCUCCAUAUCCCUAUCAGCAUAUGGAUGGGCACAAAUGAGACACCCUGAAGUGGGGGUAGUCCUGGAUGGGUAGUCCAACUCCUUAUGGAUUGCGGACUCGCCCAACAUGUCAGCAUGCCAACACACGCGCCAGUUGUGCGCGCCGCGCCCAGCCAGGCACCUCCUAGCAUGCGGCUAUGGCAAUGAGCAUAGACCAAUCGGGCUGGGCAUUUGUGUGGCGUCCGAGCAGGCGCUGCUGGGCCCGACCAUGCCUGCUGACCAUGCGCGCCUACCUACCUGGGGUGGCUGCAGCCCGCGCCCCCGCAUGGCGGUGGCACAUGCCGCACAUCAAGUUUCGGGAGCGCGAGAUCCGGUCUUGCAUGCACCGCCUGGUAGAUUCUGGCAUAGCGGUCCGGGCAGGCGCGGCGCUCAGGCCCGCACAGGAGGCGCUGACAGGCGCACAGUUGCGACGUGCCUCGUGGCGCUUCGCCUCCUGCCUGCCGCAAACAUAGCGGUUGGUUCGGCGGCGGACUUCCAAGGCUAACGCCCAUUUAACUGAAACGCAUAAUGGUCAGGCUUGUUAAGCAUAUUAUUGGUCAAGCUUUGUGCUACCAACGCGUGCCCAGACGCGUUAGCGUGCCCCGGCCCCCGCAGGGGGCGCGGCGCACCUAUACGUUUCAGAAAGCGGCAGUUGACGAAAACUUGGGCAACACGUGCUCCCCGCUCCCGCCGAGUGCACACAGCCAUUAUACAUGCCACCCAUUACACGAAAGUACUGUACACAAGGUAGAAGAGGCCCCAGCGACAAAGUUCCGAUACCCGACUCGAGUCAGGGAACCUCGAUCGCGAAAGUAACUGAGGCUAAACCAUAUUUCGCGCACUCUAACGCAUAGAAUGGUAUCCGAUGCCUCAAGAAAGACGAUUCUUUGGCCGAUUUCAUCGCACCGGCUUGCGCUGGUCCAAGGUAACUAUCAGAUACGUAGAUUGCUUCAAUCUCAGCACUUAUGUACCUGUCAGGAGGCCCGUAGGCGUGUAAGCUGCGAGCGCGAGCGCCCGUCCUUAUUAGUGCCGUGCUGGCUGCCCCUCAACGUGAGACCUAUGAAGUUGAGACUCUGUUAUUAUUAUAUUUGCAAAACGUGUAAGGCUGAACGGUUUCGCCGCAAGGGCGAACUUGAACUUACUUCGCGACGUCCAACCGUCCGACGUCCAAUGCACAGCCCGUUCCUCCGAGCUGCUGGGGGAAGUCCGCGCGCGCCCUCGCAAUUUCACAGGGCGUUGGCCCAGCUAUUGAUAUUACAUAAAUACGUAAGUAUUUAGAAGCUGCGCGGGCGAAAACGAGUGAUUUGGCGUCCCUUGGAUCCCAUUUCCCCAGACUCCAAUUCCCCCAUUGGCUGCGACCCCGACCCCGACCCCGACCCCGACCCCGACCCCGACCCCGACCCCGACCCCGACCCCGACCCCGACCCCGACCCCGACCCCGACCCCGACCCCGACCCCGACCCCGACCCCGACCCCGACCCCGACCCCGACCCCGACCCCGACCCCGACCCCGACCCCGACCCCGACCCCGACCCCGACCCCGACCCCGACCCCGACCCCGACCCCGACCCCGACCCCGACCCCGACCCCGACCCCGACCCCGACCCCGACCCCGAUCCCGACCCCGACCGAGGUCCCCGACCCCAACCCCGACCCCGACCCCAACCCCGACCCCGACCCCAACCCCGACCCGGUCACCGGUCCGGGAGGUUGUGCGCACGCCAGUAUCCGCAGUACCUUUGGUCCAACGUUUGUUACGACUCUGGCACUCAGAUCAUCAGGGGAGGCCCCUGCAGAUCAUACUCAGACUUCAGUCGCCACUUCUACACCAGCCUCCUCUCGUGCUCGGCAUUUUAACACUGUACAUUGCGUCCCCUGUCACUUGACUCCCUUAGGGGCACGCUCCAUGGAUCGCAUGGCGGUCCGCUAGUGUGAAUGGGGAACUCGGCCAGACCUGCCUGCUACCGCUGGAGCCGAGCGAGCCAGCGGCAGGUACGAACGAACUUCAAUUCGCACCAGACCAUCGCAUCGUCUGGCUUUAUUUGCUAUAAAAGGGGACGAUCGUCACAAUCAUGCUUAGCCCAAAUUCCAAAGUUGCCUACCUGCCUCGAUCGCCCACGUUGGCACAUACACACGCAGUGUUCCCGGGGUUUAGGUUACACACCAUGUCCACGCCUCACGCCAGCGUUUCGGUGGAAGGCAUAGGGCUGCUUGAGAAAGACGCGAUUGUUUUGGAGCUGAAGCAGGCCAAUGCGGAUGUGCUUGCCGAGCUGAAGAAAGCCAACGAGGAGCUGAAGAAAGCAAACAAGAAGGAACCCAAGCCCGUGCCGACCGGGAUCAAACCACGAGGUAUGAUAAAUAUCAUGAGAGCGCGAGCGACCGGCAGGCAGGGGCGAUGCCGGUUUCCAUGUUCAUGUGGCGCGUCUGCGAGCGCGCUCGUGAGUGCACAUGCGAGGCAUAGUUUGCGAGCUUGACUUGUCCCUGUCACAUCAUUGUUGCAACUCCAGGCCUGCUCAUGGUGGUGCUGAUUGGCUUGGUCAUGACUCCCAUCUUGAUUGGCAUCGCACUGCCGGUGUUCUACACCGCAAAAACUGCGCGCGCCAAGGAGACCUCCGCCAAUGUGUUCAUGUGUAGCCUGUACGCCGACGAUAGGCAGGUGAGGUGAUGUGUAGCAGGCUUGCGCAGGCAGCGGGGAUUAAGGAAGGCAUGGUGCGCCUUGGCGGCGGCGUUGCGCCUGCCUCACGCACGUUGCUGCGUUGUUAGUUGCACCUGCGUACCGUACCGAGCCUGGCACGCCGGCCGUGACAAUCCACUCUACCUACAGGCCGAGCUGGUUGCAAAGUACAACACGUUCGCUCGCCUCGACGACGCCGUCUACAGCCAGUCGGCCCUGUUGACGCCGCCGCCGCCGCCCCAGCCCAGUCCCCCGCCGCCCCCGUCCCCGCGGCCGCCGCCCCAGCCCCAGACCCGGCGGCCGCCGAUGCCGCCGCGGCCCCCGGGCGACCCGCCCUCGCCCCCCUCCCCGCCCCCGCCGGUGCCCUUCGCAAUCCAGUACCUUGACGCCUACAACUCCCUGACUCAGGCCGAGGCUCGAUUCUACUCCGACCUGGAGAAGUCCUGCUCAAUCGUGAGUUGGCUGCUGGCACUCUUGGGAUUAUUGGAGGGAGGGCGGGUGCGCGCGCGGGGAAUUUGAGAUGUGGUGGACCCUUGGUGCUUGGUAGCUAGGGCUGCGCCAGGCCACACGCGUCAGCACACGCCACACGCUUCAGCACGUCUGGCACACCAUCAAGACCUGCAUGCACCGUGUAUGUUCACUUUCCACAUGAUGAAAACUGCAUGCAUGCGUGCCAAAGUAAGAAAGACGGUUUGCGUGCACCCGAUCGAGCACGCCCGCCCGCCCCUUGUGUAUGUGCCUCCGCUUGCUGUGGCCUCGCGCGCAGGUUGGCCAGAGCCUGUGGGGCCAGAUGGACGACGACACGUUCUCACAGACUCCCGCCGGCAACACGUGGCUACAGGCUGUGGUGAACAUUGCGCCCGUGUUCACGGCCGCACGCCCGCCGCCACCCCCCUCCCCCGCCUCCGCCUCCAACGCCUCCUCGCCGCAGGCAGCGGGCAGCGACGCACCGCCUGACUACGGGUCUGAGUACGAGGGCACUUUCAACGGAACUGGAUUCGACUACCCACCUGAGGCGCCCACUGAGCCGCCCCAGGCACCGCAAGCCCCAGCCCCGCCCCGACCCCGGCGGCCAGCCGCAACUCCCACUGGUUCCCCAUCAUCCACGUCCUCUACAGGCAACCUUACCAUGUUCGAAAAGCGCGUGGCGCAAUUUCCACAGGCCGUGGCCGCGUGGUCCACAAUCAACGCCACCAUCACUUCUGUGGUGCGUGGGUCCAUGCGGGUCCGUGUGGAUGGGUCGUCCGUGCGUGUUCGUGUGCCGUUCCGAGCUAGCGUACGCGGUGUCUGCUUUCCAAGCCCACUACUGUAUGUGCGUGUGCCCGGGAGGACGUGGUGCUGCUGUCGCGAUGGUUGGAUUGUGGGAGUCCACGUCUGGCUGGGAGGUUGGCUGACGCUUCGUGAUGCCAGCUGCUUGACUACCGUAAUGUCUGCGCAUGCACUAUUCAGGAUGUAGAGGUGGGGGGUUGUAAAUAUAUAUAUACAUAUCAGCCCAAAGCAAAAACUAAACCAAAUAGGUGGCGGGGGCGAUGCCCGUGCGGUCGUGGGCCUGCUGGCACUAGAUAGAAGCGCCUGCUGCCUGCGUGCUCCUGCCCUCCCCUCCAUUACAUGUAUGCUUCUAUCUCCCUCGGCAGGAUGUGGCUACCAACGCAAUGACCAUCAGUUUUGAGAUGCAUCUGGAUAGCUUGGUCCUGCAGACCGCAAAGAACACCCGCAUCGCCAAGCGUAGCGCCAAGUCCGUGGCAAACGUCAAGUUCCCAGCCCUGCUGGACCGCACCGGCCGCAUUAAGGGCAAGGACACCCUCGCACAGACCGAUGUGAGUGACGCCGCCACAGCAGCCACAUGCACAAAUGCUCCACGUACGUGCUUCCAUGUACAUACGCAAAUGCAAGACAGGAUAAUAAACCGUAUCGUCAGGACGCAUGCAUGGUGGGGGCGUGCCUUGUGGUGCAUGUAAUAUCCCUUCAUGCAACCCUUGAGCGACUAUGUUCGACAUUGCUGAUACAUUACAGGUUGUGAGCGCUGCUGGAGCCGAUGGCACUCUGUCGCUGAAGACGGGGGUAAGUUUAUGGGGUAGAGCUGCUGGGGUGCGUGCGUGUGUGCAACAGCACGUGCUGCGCAGCUCCACCCUUACUUUGUACCGUAUGCACACGCACGGCCUCCACCUGCUGGCUGGCAGCUGUCCAUAUGCCACCUCACAUCCUGAUUUGCUCAAGGCACGCCGCGCGCUUAUCUGUUUGCACUUCCUAGCUAGAUACGUGCCAACUAAACCAUCCAUGAAACGCAUACUCAUGCAUGUUGCUUGAUUAACCACAACGCAGGAUCGAGUGACCUCCAAGAAAAUGGAGCUGCCCCUCGUCCCCACCACCAGCCUCUACCUGUACCCAUUCGAUGAGUACACAGCCACUGUCACGUGAGAAGGGGUAGCAGGAGGGGUCGAGGUAGAAUGGAAACUACGAGAGUUGUACCGGGGGUCUGGACUGCGAUGCGGAGCUGGCUGUGGACGAAUGAAGUCAGUAGGUUCAGGGUAUGCGUUGUGCCGCUCAAUCGCUGUCGGGCUCAUAACUUGUUUGUGCCUUCCACAACAUGCGCCCACAGGCUGGUUUCGAGCAUGACCGUGUCCAAUGUAAACUGCCCGACUGCACUGUUCGUGAAGCAGAAGAACGCCGUCGUGGGCUGGGUAUUCACUGUGAGUGCUCCGGGGAAUGAAGCUCGAUGUGGGUCGUUUCGCUUUGUGUGCAGUGUGCUUAGCGUUCGUGCCUGUACGUAUGCUACAAUCAUCGCGCGCAUAUCACGGCAGCCUGCCUGCCUUGAAGCCGCCCGGAUAGAGCUGUCUCCAACAUCUUACCUGAGGCAAUGCAGCGAUUGGUGUUUCAUGUAGCACUACACCUCUGCAUGCCCACCACGCACCCUCCUCUCCCGCCGUGGCACCUCGUCCCCUCAGGCCAAGCUGGUCCCCAGUGUCACGGACAACCGAAACGUCCUCAACUUCCAGAAUCCGACGGACCCGGACAGCGCCAUCACCCUGACCUACGAGAUCUACCUCAAGCGCACCACGUUUGUGCAGGUGCGUGUGAUGAGUGGGAGGCACCAACAGCAGAGAGAGGCCUAGUAGGUAGAUAGGUGGGUGUCGCCUCCCGGGCGGGGACAGCAGGGCAGCGGGCAAUGUGAGCUGCUGGGCAGCUCGUACACGCGACAAGGUAGGUACGGUGCCGUGCAGGCCCAUGCGCUCACUCACCUCGUAGGUCAUCAAUCUUACGGAGCGCUGGAAGCAUUUGGCGGCCCAUCACUGCUGUCUCGGGCCCUCUCUGCCUUCUCAUACAUACGCAUGCCCUCCUGCCCCCCUGUCCUGCCGCCGCCAGUUCUUCGCGGUGUUCGUGCUGAUGGGACUGUGGCUCGUGUCCGCCUGCUCCUUUUGCUACGGUGCGUGGAUGGCGAACCGAUGGGGACUGAUGAUGGCGCCGGGGUCAGCGUUCGGACGGGGUCAGAGGCCAUGUAUAUAUGCUAGUCGUGCGUGAUUACGGCGCGUCGAGUGGGCCUAAAACGCGGACUCACCUCUGCCCACCGCACAUAACGUACUCCCCCUGCCCACCGCACGCAGCCAUGGAUCUGCUCUACAUCCGCCCGCGUAACGUGACCAACGGUGACGCCACGCUCUUCACCGCCCAACUGUUCGCUGUGUGAGUCUGGCCGGGCGGCACCACGACUUCUGCUACUGCUGCCGGUACUGCAUUCAUUCGCGCAGGGCAUCACUUAUGCGCCAAUGAAUGCCAAGAUGCACAUGUUUACCGCGCAAUGGCGUGAGCUCUUCUUGAGACGCCCAUGCAUCUUUCCACGCACCAGCGCAGCCUACUAACAUGCCGCACGUCUCAUGCACCUCCCUCACAUGUAGGGUGGGCACGCGCAACAUUAUGCCUGGUGUGCCGGCCGUGGGCGUGGGAGUGGACUUCUUUGGAAUCAUCUGGAUCAUGAUCAUCUGCCUUCUCACAGGUGUGUGCGGGGGAAGGGGGAUGGAGGGCCGCGUAUCCCUGGAACACAAACAAAGCCUGUGUGGGCCACACGUAUGUCAACAGACUAGCUCCUGGCCUCUUGCGUGCCGCUGUCCCGGCAGUUGUACAAUCCCGGUAGUGAAUUCGUAAUGCGGUUUGGGUGUGCGACUGUACCCGCCGCGUGCCUGUCCCGACUCUCCACCCUCGCUGGCUCGUUUUGCACCCGCUUCCCCAUGACAACAAAUAAAGGCAGUACCUUUCUCAAUGUCGUUCUCCCUCACCCACUCCGCCCUCCUAACACUACAGGUGGACUGGUGUACGCACGCAUCGUGUCCCAGUACGUGCACAAGGAGCCCACCCUGUAUGACCGACUGGCCAAGAACGAUGUGUGGCUGGAUGACUGGCUCAAGCAGCAGGAGGAUGCCGAGAAGAUGGCCAAGGAAAAGAAGGAGAAGGAGGAGGAGCGAAAGAAGAAGAUUGAAAAGUACGGAGAGCCUGGGAAGGCGAAGAUCGCCCCUGCCACAGCGGCUGCAGCUGAGGGCAAGGCGACUGUGUAGGCAAUUGAAGCUAACAGCGUCGUGCGUGUCCGUUCAUGUAGAUAGGCUUACCAGCUUGCACCCUUGCAAACAUUACUUGAGAGCAAUGCGAAGAGGCAGCAUUAAGGUGGGUCUUGGUUGGUACACUCCUGCGUACGUGCAUUGCAUUGUGUUGGGCAUUGGUCGCUACUGCCCAUACAUGCAUGUGGGUCAGCGCCUACCCGUCGGCUCCUAGUGGUUGGCAUGAUGACGGGUGCGUGGAGCCAGCCAUGAAUAAGAAUACCGUACAUCAUGCAUGCAUGCAUGUGCUUGGACACACGGACAAACGCUGAUAGGGGUGUACAAUAUGUACUGUCGGCUCGUACAGAGUGGCUUGCGUGUAGGUGGCUUGAGUGUAGUCAGGUGCAGUGUGCGUGGCCGAGUGUAGUCAGGUGUAGUGUAGUUGGCCGAACUACAUCUGCGUGCAUUCUCGGCAGUGAAUUUCGCCAAUGCGAAUACCCGCAAAGACUGACUAUGUGUAACGCUGCGUUUGCAGCGCUCCCUGGCCCAACACAAGCUAUAUAGUGUCCGCUAGGUUUUGACUGAGGGAAGGCACCGCAUAACAAACGUUCAUGCGAAAGCCAGCUUAAGAUCGGGUCAAAGGAUUUACAGCGCGCGGGUACCAUUGCUCGGAACAUUCUGUGUGGCCAGAACCAAUCUCCACAAUACCGUAUACUGCAUGACAUACUCCAGCAGCCUUGCAUAGGGCCCGUCCGUAAUGAAGCUUCCACUUCCAGCCAAUCUAUCUAUCACCCGCGCCAGCUGCACAGUAGAUGGUGGCGGGGCGGCACAAGCACCGCUGCCCGCCUACCCGGCUGACCGGCUGGCAGCACGCGCGGUGGCCCCCCCCAACAAUAAGCUCAUCCGCAGCAGUGCAAAUGCCUCUAUCUGCAACACGAGUCGCGGUGGCAUUGGCAAUGUGGAUGGCAGGGCGCCGGCAGCUGCCGACGGGUUCCCCAGCCUAACCCCCAUCAAUCCAUCAUGCACGCGUCUUGGUCUGAUAGAGCCUGCUGUCUCCUCCAUUACUUCCUCCCGCACAAGCAAGUGCCUCACAGGCGGGGCAUACAUCCGCCCAUAAUUGAAUCAAGAAGCCUUUCCUUCUACCUGUCAUACCUUCGGGUCACACACAUCCAUCGCCCAGUUCGCACCCAUGCCAGCAAACUUCCAGCCAGCCAGCAACUCGUCGGUACAGCAACUCCGGCGUUCGACCAGCCGCGCACUCCUGCCCUGCCGCUGCCAAUUGUGUGACAUUUGUUGGGUUCUGGGAAUCAGCUGCACCCUACGGGACUUUACCAACUUGCCUUACCACUGUCCCAUCGCACAUACACAUCCAUCGCCCAGUUCGCACCCAUGCCGUGGUUGCCUGACCGGACAGACAGACAGAAAGACAGACAGACCGCGGACAUACAGUGCCACAUGAACCAAACAUGCCACGACUGCAGAAGGUCGCUUUGGGGCUUGCAACUUAGGCCUUUGCGGCCUUUCCGUGUAUCUUGUUCGCUAUUACCGUACCGUAUAAUAUCUGCACUUGGGUUUCGUCCCGCAUUAUGCAUUGCGCAUUGCUCCCAGACCAUUUUGGCCCAACCACAUAGGUAACACAUGGGCAACUACAUACGCAGGUUGCUUAUGUAGAUGCACAUACCGCCUUCCGCAAGUCCUUUGAUGGACCAAUGAACCGCGUCGUACCUGACCCAGGGGCCAGCCAACCUAGUGACCGCCCUUUGCGCGUCAACGCGCCAGGGACCAGGUUCUCAACCUACCCGUGGAAACAACAUCACUCUCGCUCGCUCCCACAUGCACAAUAGCGCAAAGCCUCACAACCUCACCACCCUUAGACCUGGGAUCUCGCCGUCCCCACCACCGCCCCUCCAGCCAUCGCCGCCCCCAUUUUCCACAUCACCAGGCAGCAUCAGCGGCUGGAACGGCAGACCUGCCCCCAGGCCGCCGCCGCCGCCGCCGCCGCCGCUGCUCUCCAGCCGCCCAUAGCCGCCCUGCUCCGCCGAUGGUUGCGGCUGAUCGCCGCCGGGCGCGGGCAGCCGUCGAAUGACUAUCCCCCCAAGGUCGUCAUCAGUCAUCAGCCCACCUCCCAGCAACCCUCCGCCGCCUGCUCCUGCGCCGAGUCUCCCACCGCCUCCUGCCACCCCGGCUGCGGCUCCAGCGCCCGCGCCGCCAUCCAAGCCCCCGGCGGGCGGCCCUGGCAGCCCUGGCGGCUGGUGGUGGUUGUGGUGGCCACUGAGCGAGGGCCGUUGCGGCUGCUGUCGCUGUCGCUGCUGUUGUUGCUGCGCGCUGAGCUCCUCCUGGUGCUCCGUCAGCAGCAUGUCCACAAGCGAGUCCACAACCUGUAAAUCAUCAAGGCAAGGCCACGGAUCCAUCCAUGAAAGGGUCACCGCAAGCGAGCAGGCGGCAGAAUGAAGCACGUGCGUGACCGCAAAAAGAAGUACUGCAAUUGCUGCACGCAGCACUCGCUGCUGUGCAAUGAUGCUGGCACGGAGCACAGCGCCUCGGUCUACGGCUGCUGGGAGCCGAAACUGGGCGUUGCCUGGGACCACACUGAGGCGUUGCGCGCCGCCUCCGCGGUGCUGCCGGAGGCCACUGUUCGCGCCAGCGGCCGCAGCCACUGCCACCUGACGUUGGACGCGCUGAAGGGCGGCAAUGACGGCCGCUCGCUGGUGGCGGCAGCACCAACUACAUGCAUCAAGACGUGUUCUCGGGCGGCAGCAUGCUUGCACGGAUGAGGGGUUUUCGAGGGACGGGGUUUCAAGGGGCAAGGUUUGGUUCACCUCGAAACCCACAUGUCUUUUGGCGUGUCGCGGUGGGUAUUCUCGUAGUUGUUUUGCUAGUAUGUGUACGUUGAAGAAAGCGAGUAGGUUGAAGCGAGUAGGUUGAAGAACGGGACCGUCCAGGAUGGGACACCACACGCCAGAUUGAAAAGCCUUUGUUUCGCGGUCACGUGCUUCAACUAAUAACACCGAACCGCCGCUCGCGCGCACACACCUGCUCAAACGUGGGCCGCGCCGCGGGCUCCGGCGCAAUGCAGGCCACCAUCAGGUUCCGCAGGUGCGGCGGGCAGGAGGCCGGCACUGCCACACCAAACCGGCCGCCCGCAAUCGGCGCAAUCGUUUCCGCGCCGCCGCCGCCGGCCGCGGACGAGCCCUCCCCAGCGGCUGUGGAGCUGCCGCCCGGCUCUGUGCUUUCAGCUCCUGGCGCCGCCGCCAAGGCGCAAUUUGUUGUGAUAUCGGCGAUGUAAGAGCCGUAGAAGAACUCGAGCAGCAUGACACCGUAUGAAAAGACGUCGGCGGCCUUGGUCAGGCGGCCGCGUGUGAGCACCUCUGCGCGUGUGUGUGCAAGGGCGGGGAGCGAGGGCGGAGUGGAGGGCUUGAUGGCGGGCGGACAUACACCUGCGCCAAGCACGUGCUUUUCGCACCACCUACCAUCCUGCCAGCCAGAUCGACGCCCCACCACUUCGCCCGGAACCCACCCAGCGUGCAACCUGCACUGCCGUACACCUGCACGCCCCCGCACCCAUGCAUCCAUACAUCCAAAACAUGUCCAUACAUCCAUACAUCCAAGGCCCAGGCCCGCCCAGGCCGCACACAGCAGCCCGCACACGCACCCGGCGCGCUGUAGAGCGGCGUGCCCUGGAACUUGUUGGAGGCGUGCGUCUGGCCCUCGCCCAUGCGCACACUGCAUGCACACGUGCACGUGCACACACGUAGACAUGCAAGCGGUGAGGACCACAAGUGAGGAACGGGGCGCAGGCGACAGGCGCGCAGAUAUACAGACAACAAGGUAGGGCACGUACGCCGCACAGGCGGCGCAGCAGCCCUAGCUAUGCAGUGUGAGUGGCUGGCGGCUCAUGCAGCGGCGCUGCAAAGGGUACGGCAGGUGUUUACCCUCCUAGUGAAAGCAAGGCAGCGCACACAUCACCUGCUGGCACGCACAAGACGCAUAAAACAUACCAGGGCUACUCGCAGCCGCCACGCCUGCAGUCACGUUCCGCACCUGAGCCCAAAGUCCGCCACCUUGGCGAUCACGGGCGGCCGCCACAGCCCCCGCAGGCGGCUGACGGCGGCGGCCAGGCUGCGCGCCCCCGCGCUGCGACCCGCCGCCAUGGUGUCAGCCAGGUUGCCGAACACGUUGGGCUGGCCGCCGCCCCCUCCCCCGCCAGCCAGCGCGCCCAGCGCGCCCAGCGCGCCCGGCAAUGGCGCCACCUGUGGGUUGUUGCGUGUGAGCAGCGGGUUGUUGAACGCGAUAGGGAGGUUUGUGGCUUUGUGUUUGGAAGGCAGAGAGGGCCUGCCUUGGGUCGCGCGCUUGGAUGGAUCUUGCAACACAGCUAGCGACACUGGCCACAACCGUUAGGGCCCCCCAGUCAUGGCGAGCCCGUCAGAGGACCAUCCGCAAAACGGUGACGCGGAACGUGGAACAGCACUUUGAACGACGCAAUUUGACACCUUGCAACUACACACCGCUGGCGCCACGGCCCAUAAAGCUUCCACAGUUCCCGACCCCACCGCACACCUUGAUGGUGGUGAGGAGGAUGUUUGCGGACGACAGGUCUCCGUGCACGAUGUUCUUGGAGUGGAUGUGGAACAUGCCGCACGCCACGUCCAGGGCCAGGGUCAGCGCACACAGCGCCGCCGCGCCGCCCGCCGACACGCUGCCCACCACACCGUUUGCUGCGGUGGCGGCGGAGGCGAGGGCGGGGCGAGGGCGGAGGUGGGACACGCACACGGCACACACACACGUGCGGCUGCGGCAUGAGGUCCCAGCUGCAGGUACUUGUGCCCUGCCGGAUUGAUGCCGUUGAUUUGCCAGUGAGCCUGCAAGCCCCGAUUCCCCCACCCAUCCACUCACUCAGCGCGUCUCGCAACGUGCCCACGUCACAGUACUCCUGUAGGCGUGACAUUUCAGACGGAUUAAGUGUCCGGUGCGACAGCGCGGGAAUCAGCCGGCAGUGGAGCAGACGCACUCAGCGGUACAAGGCCAGAGCGGCUGCUAGGCGACUUGGCACCAUUGGGCCCCUCAGCCCGUCGGACCCCUUAAUCCACGUCCUAACUUACGACUUCCUUUACUAGUUACUCACUAUGAGGCCGUUUGAACAUGGUGGGGGCGCUGCACAAAGCAUCCUACACACACUCGAACACGAAUACCACAAACACGACGCGACCACAUCCACCCCCAGCCCAACUGCCUUCUCCAUCACAGCCAACCCAGCGCACCCCCAGCCAAUCCCCAGCCCACUCCAACCCAAUCAAGCCACACACCUGGAUGAUGUACAACUUGUACACGUCGCCCGCACUCUCCCACACGCUGCGCUCGCCGGCGGCGCCGCCGGCCCCCGCGCCGCCCGCCCCGCCGCUGGUGCUGCCUCCGGCGUCCGAGCCCUGGGCUAGCAUCAUCUGCAGCCAUGCCAGGACACAAACGCAAAUGCGUAAGUUGCAGAAACAUGGGAAAGCACACACGACAGAUUGCGAGCGGCCAUGUAUUGCAUGUGUGCGCCCUAGCCUGCACGGGCAAGCAAGUCAGGAUGCCACUUGCCCCAUCAGAGCGGUCCCCCGCCCGCCCAGUGCCACAUAAUGCGGUGUGCCUUCUACCAUGCGACCAUACUACACACACAUACAGUCUGCGUUUACCCUAUCUCGUGUUUUCGAACACAGACAGGACGCACACGUUGCACCGGCUGUGGACAGCGGGCCGGCGCCCUCCCAGCACGGCACUGGCACUGGCACUGCUCGCGAGCACACACGCACCCACCUGGGGCGGGCUGCUGGCCACCACGCCCAGCGGCUUGACCUCGAAGGCGUAGGUGGCCACCACGUUGGGGUGGUGCAGACUGGUGGAGAUGGCGGCCUGCAGGCAGAGGGGUUGGGGGAGGGGUGGGGUGGAAGAGAGGGCGGGAGGAGGAGGGGCGGAACGGGGUGCAGAGGAGGGGAGGAGAGGUGAAGCGAGGGAGAGGGAGGAGGGGAGGAGAGGUUAAGCGGGGGAGAGGGAGGAGGAGAGGGAGGGGAAGAAGGAGCCACCCGCUCACCCGCCAACCAGCCCGCCAGCCCGCUCGCCCGCCCGCCAACCCACCCACCGGUCCGCUAACCCGCCCGCCCGCUAACCCCCGCACCUCCAGGAUGGCUCGCUGCCGCCGCCGCCCCUCCGUGCCCAGCAGUGCGUCGUGCACCACCAGUGUCUUCACCGCCACCCGCAGGCCGCGCCAGGUGCCCAGGUACACGACCCCAAAGCUGCCCUUGCCCAGCACCGUGGUGAUUCGCAGCUGCUCCUGGCGCCCCGACAGCUCCGCCUGUAGACCACAGGUGGCAAACAGGGAGGAAAGCUUGCGCCGUGGUUGGGGUGGUUGAUUGGCAGUUGGCCGGAUGUCCUGCGGGUUGGAAACCUAGAGGAGGCGUGUGGAACCACCUCCACUCCUCACUUGCCAGGAGUAUGGAAGGAGAUGCGGACUGCGCGGCAUACCCUCCCCUCCCUAGCAGCCGCACACUCCUAGCAAGCGCGGCCCCCCGGGAGUCAGCGCACAACCCCAGCACCCCUCAGCACACGCCCCAGCUGCCCCACAAUCCCAGCAGCCCCAGCUGUCGCACUACACGCACGCACCUGCAGGCUGCUGAUGGCUGCUGCCAGGUCGGCGCCGGCACGCGGCGGCGCGGCGGGCGCCGGCAGAUGCAGCGGCGCCUCGGCUGCUGGUCGCGUGGCGUGGAACGAAUGCAGGGGGGGGCAGGUAGGGAACGCGGGCGGACAUGGCGGGGGCGGGUUGUAAAUACCAGCCAAAACUAAACCGAACCCAAGGGGACAGGUAUUAGAGUAACUGGGAGUUGGUACUGGCCCCACACAGGCACAGUGCUACCGCACCGACUCCUUCCUCUGUAUUCGCCUAGCAGCUCACCCGAAGACACCUCCCCCCCGGGCGUGGGCUCCCCUGCAGGCGCCGUGGCGCCGCCGGCGGGCGCCGGCUGCUGCUGCUGCUGCGGCGGCGGCGAGCCGGCGGCGGGCAUCAGGCUGCCGCGCGCCUGCUGCUGGGCCGCCGCUGCCGCUGCCGCCGCUGGCUCCCGGUCGUCCACCAUGGAGCGACUGCUGUAGGCCUGCACGUGUGUGCGUGUGUGUGUGUGUGUGUGUGUGUGUGUGUGUGAAACGAAAGCCCGCCCGCCCGUGUGUGUGCAUGUGCAUGUGUGUGUGCAUGUGCAUGUGUAUGUGUGUGUGUUAAAUAAAAACAAACGGAACAAUGUGUGUGUAUGUGUGUGUGUGUCUGUGUAUGUGUGUGUAAACGGACAGAAGGGAGGAGUUGUUGCACGAAGGACGCGAGCGAAUCUUAUUGCUUCCGUGGGCCCCGUGCAUGUACGUGGGCGCCGAUACAUGUACACGUACGCGGCACAUUCACGAACAACGCAGAUUCCAGCUGCCACGAGUGCCCUGCUACGACAGAGGCAAGAUGGUUGAGUUGGAGCGGGAACGCACCAGCAGCGCGCUCUCAAUGUCCACGGUCUGCAACAAGCUCUUGUCGCCCAGCCGACUCAGUGGCUUGCCCAUGGCAGCGACGGCGGCGGCGGCGCCGCCAGCCGCCGCCGCGGGGCUGCCGCCCGCCGGACGGACCAGGGCCCCGGAAUCCGCGCCGGUGCCUCCAGUCGCCGGCGGCGGCGUGCCAACCGCCCCAACCGCCACGGGACGAGCGCCCACCGGGAUACGGUUUUGCGCGGCAUCAUCCACAAUGACCAGCUGUACGGAGGGCAUGGCUGCGAGCGCGGCGGCGGCUGGCGGGGGCGCGCCGCUGCCUCCGCCGCCGCCUGCAAGGAAUGACGCGGCGGCUGAGGCGUUGGCUGCCGCCGCGGCAAGCAACGCCAUGGUCUCCGCGGCAGUUGGCGCCGCCGCCGCCUGCUGGUGUAACCGCUCAAACGCCUGUCCGCACGAAGACGAAAGGACAUAUACACAUUGCCUGGGUUUGACUUACGGUUUGCUGCCUCUGACCAGUCCGUUGUACAAUUUCGUCCACUCCUUCUCGUCUAGAAGGUACUGCAGCCACCCCUUACCUGGAGCCCCCGUCUCUUACUCCCACCCGCUCACCUGCUCCUGCUGCUCCUGAACACAGCUGGCGGCAGCAGCAGCAGCUGCCGCUGCGGCUGCGGCAGCGCCCCUCGGCGUCGCCGCAGGUGACGCCCCAGCCGCCACCGUCACGCCGUUACCGUUGCCCUUCGCAGUUGCGGCUCCAACUGCCACCUUCCCGCCCAUUCCACUACCGUUUCCAUUACCGUUGGCGCCGUGCCCGUUGGCUAAGCCGCUCUCAUCGCUGCUGCUGCCGCCCCAAGGCGCCAGCUCAAUUGAGCCGCCGACAGGGCCGCCGGCGGCCUUGCGCGCAGCAGCGGCGGCCUCGGCGGCGCGCCGCUGGUGGCGGCGGCGGCAGAACAGCACUCCCAGGAUGACGAGCGCUGAGGCUGCCACCACACCCACCGACACGCCCACUGCGUAAGACAAGUACAGUAAACAAUACAUCCGGGAGGGAGGGGUGCAUGAGCGCCGUGUGCGGCAUUUAGGUAUGACACACACACACACACACACACACACACACACACACACACAUACACACACACACGCACGUCGCCCGUCAGGCGUAAUGAACACAAGCAAACCAACCCGCAAUUGCUACGGCGCUCGAGCCGCCGCCACCACCACCAGCAGAAUCCGCCGCUGCCGGCGGUGGCGAGGGGCUGGCAUUGCCUUCCAGGGCAAUGCCAGCGCCGGGGCUGCCGGGGUUGCCAGUGCUGCUGCUGAGACCCGGAGGGGCGGGCGAAGGCCGAAGCGGCGAGGGAGAAGGAGAGGAAGGCAGGGAAGUGGGAGGGUCUGGGGUGCUCCGCGGCGGCGUGGGUGUGGCGGGUGGAGGCGAGGGCGCCAGCGGUGGUGCGGGGUUGGGUGGCGGCGAGGGGCUGGGCGGGCUGGGCGGCGGAUAGCUCACGGGGUCUGCGGGCGGCAGGAAGCAGACGGCAGGGUCGUUCAAGCGGAGGGCGAGGUGGUGUCAAUGACAUGUAAAAUGCAAGGCAACCUCCAUCUCCAUCCAGGCCAUGAUAUUUCUUAACCCUUCCCAGCCCGCGCGCCCUCUCCCGCCCGCCCUGCAGCUCUGAUCUACGGCAUCUGCCCCCGCACCGUAGGUGGGCUCGUAGCUGAGCAGGGGUGUGGGUGCGCCCGGCGGCAGCACGGCGGUGAUCACCGUGUCGUAGGCGACCCAGUUGCGCGGCAGCCCCAGGUAGGAGAGGGCGAUGGUGUCGUUGGUGUACCAGGACACCUGUGGCGGCGAGGAGCGGGUGGCGGGGCGGCGGAACCCCGGCGGGGAGGGGGGUGCAGGAGGCUGAUUGAGGAAGUAUCGAUCGAGGUCGAUCGCCGAACUGGGUUUUGCGGGAGUAGCGCGUGAGGAGCCGUUGGCAGAGAGGGGUAGCCGUCCAUGAAAUACGGAGUGAGUUAAGAAUUUGUUUGAAGUGCCGGCGUCCAGAGGGGGUGAGGUUUGGUGUUCAACGUGACGAGCGCGCGUCAAGCACCAUACGGCCUAAGCUGUGUAUGGUCUCAGCUAUGCAUGCACCGUGUGCAGUGGCCCGCACCGUUGCGGCCAGCGCUGCGGCCCGCAGCGUUUCAGCCGCCUUGCCGGGAACCACCACCGAGCUAUUGCUGCUGCUACUGCUGUUGCCACUGCCGGCCGUCUGCUGCAGCGUCCUCCUGCUACUGCCACCGCCACUGCUACUGCCCCUGCCGAGCAGCAGGCGCCGCUGGAGUGCGGAGGUGCUGGUGGUGGCGUUGGAGGGCGGGCCGUAGGAGGCAGGCAGCUUUUUGGCCUGCGGAGGGGUGGGUGGGUCAGGCUUAGAGCCACACCACGUUCGCUGGUUGCCGUGUCUGUCGCAACUGCCGUACCGCACAGCACACGUUUCGCCUGAUGCGCCACGCACGGCGCCAACCGUUUCGGGCUCUUUUCCACCCUCCAGGAACUCCCGCCACCCCGCCACCAAGCACUCGACCCGCGCACGCCUCACCCACACGCACGCACCUGCGCCAGCAGGUACAGCCACAGCUGCAACUCCGCCGUCGGUACCACCAGCACCACACGAUACAGCGACAUCAGGCCGUUAUCGGAGUUCGCGGGCCGGGCAAAGUACCAAAGCGGCAGCGUCAGGUUCGCCAAUGUGUCCUCGUAAGCAACCGAGCCGAGCGCCGGCAGCGGGUUGGGCUCGCCCGUGGUUUCGUUGACCGUUGCGUUCCAGUUGGACGAACCGUACAGCAGCAGCUUGCGGUACAGAUCAGACCCCGGUACGGCGAAUCCGCCGCCGUACGGCAGCGCGCCGCCGGGCGCCAGGUUGUACAGCACCAGGUCCUGCAGGGUGGCUGACGUGGAGCCGUACAGCUCGCCUGUGACGCCCUGCAAAUGAAUGAAAGGGAGUGAGAGUGGGCGAGUGAGCGGUAGGGUGUGACCGAGUGCCAAGGCGAUGCUGAAGGAGAUGCAUAUAAGGGGCAUGGAAGGGGUUGGUUGCCGCGUUCCCCUUUUGUGUCGACCUGAUGACUUCCCCCGUCCCGCCAUGGGCUGCAUCUUACCAUCCCAUGCUUCUUACUGGGCCUGGUAAACACAGAACCCUAUCGCAGAGCACAUACACACACACCUUUUCCACACCUUGCCCCCCCCCCCGCACACACUGCACGCACCUGCAGGUCCCAGAACGCCACCUGACCAGUCUGGUUGCCCGGCGGCCCCCGCACGGCGCGGCCGGCCAGGGGGUACUGCGGCCCGAAGUCGCCGGCGGCGGGGUUGUGGCGGGGGGCGGGCUCCGCGCUGGCGAAGAUGGCGCCUGGAGAGGGUUUUGAGACAACUUGGAAGUCACCUUCUGCCCAUUCCUGCUGUGUUUGCUGCCUGAGUUCUGCUCCAAUCCACCGUAGCAGGUAGCCAGAACAGGAUUCCAUCCACCCACCCACAGCCAGCCACCCACAGCCAGCCAGCCACACGCAGCCAGCUGCUCACUUGUUCCGGCGGAGGUGUUGGCUGUGGCCAGGAAUAUGGACGAGGCCCAGCUUGACUGCGCCCCGAUGGAGGCGGCGGCCAGGGAGGAGUUGAUGACCGCGUACUCGCCCAGCGCGGCCUGUGGGAGGGAGGGGAGGAGAGGAGAGGCGGAGGGGGAGGGGAGAGAGAGGCAGAGAAGAGGGAGGAAGGGGUGAGAGGGCUACAGAAGGGGUGGGGCAAUGCGAUUGAUUGCUGGGCAGGGUGUGGCUGCCGAUGCCUGGUAGGCCCGGCCCGGCGGGUGGCCAUGACUGGUGGGCCUUGGGGCCCGCCACAUCCUUCACCAACACCCACACAGCCUGCAGCCGUGCUGCACCAGGCCGCCGCCGCACAUACCAGCCCAACCACCACCCUGACCACCACCAACCCCCACAGCUCACCCACCGUUGCCACCCACCACGCCCACCCACCGCGCCCAACCAACCGCCCACCCACCGCGCCCACCCAACCGCCCAGACCUGGUACGACACGGCGGCGGGCACGCCCUCCAUCAGCGGCCACCAGGCGAUGGUCGCGAACUCGGACCGUGGUGCGUUGGCUGGGCUGUCGUACAGACUCGCAAAGGUGCAGUCGGUGAAGCGCGCCACGCCGCCGGCGUCGUUGAGGCUGGUGACGCGGGUGCCGCGCACGCCGCCACUGGUGCUGGAGCUGGAGCUUGAGGCGGUGACAGGCAGGGUGAAGAGCCGCGCCAGCCAGGGCCUGUGUGUGGGGCGGGGAUUUGGGGGUUGGUGUGUGUGUAUGUGUGUGUGUGUGUGUGUGCGCGUUUGUGAGAGAGUGUAUGUGUGUGUAUGUGUGUGUGUGCAUGAGUGCAUGUUGACAGUGAGGCUUUUGCAAUGAGGGACCAAGGGCAUGGGUGCGACCAGCCGCGCCCGACCCCGCAACCGCAACCGCACCUCAUCAGGCCCAAGCGGAUAGAACGCAUCCACCUCCAUCUUCCUCUGCCCCGCCCACCCAAUGUGCGUGCCACUCCCCCUCCCCCUCCCCACCUGGCCUCCAGUGCGUUGACGCUGCUGGCGGCCAGCAGUGCGGUGUUCCACCAGGACGCCUCCUGGUCCGGCAGCCACAGCACACAGGAGGUUGCGAUGAGCUGGGGGGUGGAGGUGGCGCCGCCGCUGCCGCCCCUGGAGCGCGGUGCAGGAGGAGACGAGGGUAGGGGAAGUGGUAAGGGGGAGAGGGUCGGGGGAGAGGGUCGGGGGAGAAGAGGGGGCAAUGGCAGGGAGUGGGGAGUGGGGAGGCG